UGGGGAAUAUUGGACAAUGGGCGAAAGCCUGAUCCAGCCAUGCCGCGUGUGUGAAGAAGGUCUUCGGAUUGUAAAGCACUUUAAGUUGGGAGGAAGGGCAGUUACCUAAUACGUAUCUGUUUUGACGUUACCGACAGAAUAAGCACCGGCUAACUCUGUGCCAGCAGCCGCGGUAAUACAGAGGGUGCAAGCGUUAAUCGGAAUUACUGGGCGUAAAGCGCGCGUAGGUGGUUAGUUAAGUUGGAUGUGAAAUCCCCGGGCUCAACCUGGGAACUGCAUUCAAAACUGACUGACUAGAGUAUGGUAGAGGGUGGUGGAAUUUCCUGUGUAGCGGUGAAAUGCGUAGAUAUAGGAAGGAACACCAGUGGCGAAGGCGACCACCUGGACUGAUACUGACACUGAGGUGCGAAAGCGUGGGGAGCAAACAGGAUUAGAUACCCCUGUAGUCCCUGAGCGGGCUGGCAAGGCGCAU
This 472-nucleotide ribosomal RNA is filed under the name uncultured bacterium. Its description in RNAcentral is "bacterial SSU rRNA". It matches the Rfam family "Bacterial small subunit ribosomal RNA", at positions 355 to 825 of the family's 1533-position model. The record is from RNAcentral.